UCCUUCCGGAGGCAGCCGUAGGGAAUUUUUCGCCAAGGGCGCAAAUCUGACCCCGCCACACCGCCGCAGUGAAGAAGGCCUUCGGGUCGUAAAACUCUGUUUUCGGGAAGGACAAGCCCUAGUUAAUAAGCUGGCACCUGANCGUCCAGCCAAGCAGUCUGG
This 162-nucleotide ribosomal RNA is filed under the name uncultured bacterium. Its description in RNAcentral is "partial 16S ribosomal RNA". The record is from RNAcentral.